UGUCGUGCAAUGCAGUAGGUCGGCCACAAGCCCAGCGGUAGACAUUUUCUAAUGUAUUACGCUCCUGUAAGACAGUGGUAUGCCAAUCACUAAAUUCCAUAUUCUUCUCGAGAUGUGCUCGAAUGCAGUUGUCGUUGUUUCCCAACUGAAUAAGUUUGUUAGAAAUCCUAGUAAUAUGCCCUAUAUUACCUACUCGGGGUGCUUGUUUUCCAGUAGCUGGUAAGGUGGGCUGAUUUCCAUCACCAGAAACUGUAGGCUGUUUAUCUGUUUGGAUAAUUUUCCCAAUCAAAUUGCACUCCUCAAAAAGAUGGUCAACGAUUGUGUUGGUCUUACUUUCCAAGCAUGAGUAUAUUAUACUCUCCACAUGAUGAUGUAAUGCAUUGUUAUAAGGGUACUCAAAAAAUAGAUUCAGG
RNAcentral lists this unclassified non-coding RNA (413 nucleotides) under Hevea brasiliensis (rubber tree). The record is from RNAcentral. Lineage: Eukaryota; Viridiplantae; Streptophyta; Magnoliopsida; Malpighiales; Euphorbiaceae.